This is a non-coding RNA of Ciona intestinalis (vase tunicate), 1195 nucleotides long. The record is from RefSeq and is a predicted model, not a curated record. NCBI's taxonomy places the organism in Eukaryota, Metazoa, Chordata, Ascidiacea, Phlebobranchia, Cionidae.
UUCCAGAUUGACAGAGUUCUCUUGGGGCGACCCUUCUAUCCCAAUACAGACACCGUCUUGUUCGUCGUUGUGAACUGGAUCCACAAGUUCGUCCGCAUUCUGUCCAUUCAUUCCACUCGGAGUAGGAAGGAACUAAAGAUUAUAUUGGACAUCCAUGUUCGAAUCCCUACAAGUUCUCUCAUUUCGCUUCAAAACACGGAACUUAUUACACACAGCAGGAAAUUCCCGUUAUCUAUCCAUCGCUAUACUUCGUGUAGUUAUCUAUCCAUCGCUAUACUUCGUGUAGCCAACGUGCUAAUUCGACAAUUUAACCAACUUAUUAGUGAUCACUGGGUUCGAGAAAUUGUUGUUAACUGUCUUGCCCAAGAACACAUACACCCACAACGGUAGCAGCGACGAGUCUUGAACUGAUAACCUAUCGGUGUCACGGCGGCAGACUACUUGGGGAAAAUGCGGAGGGGACCUUACAUUCUGAUGACGGCUUAAAAAAGAGAUAUCAAUAUUAGCUACAACCUCUGUUCUACUUGCUUCAGUUGGAAUUAUUGGGGUCUCACCAAAAGGUGGCAGUCUUGAGGACAAUUUCGAAAAAAGAACUUUUUGAUCUUCCCGACGUGAAGGUUAAAAGUCACAGUACAAGGAAUAAACCAACAUCAUCAAAACGUGCUAAAAAUACGAACCCCUUUGAAGAAGAUGACCCCUUAGCGUUUAUGAACGAAGGGUCAAAGGUCACACGGGGGUUGGGGGUUAAGGGUCAUAUCAUGAUGACAAUGAUGUAGAUUUAUAAGAAGGGUAAAAAAAACGAAAAAAAGUGUAAUAAUAAAACUGUUUAGUUUUUGUGCAUAAUUAGUAAGUCAGUUGGUUACAACUUAUUCUUACAAUUGAAAUAUUAUUUUUGUUAUACCAUGCAUAGUGUGAUCAUAAGUCUAUAGACUUUUUGGACUUAUCAGUGUAAAAAAGAAGUUUUAUUUCAAUGUUUCAUUUACUAUUUGGCUAAAUUUUAUCAGUGUUUUUCCCACAAAUAUUCUGUUACUGUGCCAUUGAUAAUGUAAUACUGAAUUUUCGGCACCUGCGAUAUAAAAGCAUUUUAUUUCUAAUAGAACAAAUAAACAACAAAAUAAUAAUUCCGAAUAAACUCUAGAUUUUUGCUGUUAAUGCUGAUUACUUUUUCAAAUUGCUUGUUUGUUUUAAUACAUUA